GACGAACGCUGGCGGCGUGCCUAAUACAUGCAAGUCGAACGCUGAAGAGAGGAGCUUGCUCUUCUUGGAUGAGUUGCGAACGGGUGAGUAACGCGUAGGUAACCUGCCUUGUAGCGGGGGAUAACUAUUGGAAACGAUAGCUAAUACCGCAUAACAAUGGAUGACACAUGUCAUUUAUUUGAAAGGGGCAAUUGCUCCACUACAAGAUGGACCUGCGUUGUAUUAGCUAGUAGGUGAGGUAAUGGCUCACCUAGGCGGCGAUACAUAGCCGACCUGAGAGGGUGGUCGGCCAAACUGGGAAUGGGACACGGCCCAGAACCCUACGGGGGGCAGCAGGAGGGAAUCUUCGGAAAUGGGGGCAACCCUGACCGAGCAACGCCGCGGGAGUGAAGAAGGGCUUCGGAUCGUAAAGCUCUGUUGUAAGUCAAGGAAGGGUGUGAGAGUGGAAAGUUCACACUGUGACGGUAGCUUAACAGAAAGGGACGGCUAACUACGUG
Molecule: ribosomal RNA, 497 nt
Filed under: uncultured bacterium
Lineage: Bacteria
Description: partial 16S ribosomal RNA
Rfam family: Bacterial small subunit ribosomal RNA
Source: RNAcentral